This 324-nucleotide long non-coding RNA is filed under the name Homo sapiens (human). RNAcentral describes it as "HSALNT0234725". The record is from RNAcentral. Lineage: Eukaryota; Metazoa; Chordata; Mammalia; Primates; Hominidae.
UAUUCCGGGGCCAUCGUGCCCUUCCCAGAAUGGAUGCAACGUCUCCAACCAAAACCAGAUGUACUUCCUGCUUCCUCUAGAGCAGGCUUCUGACUCAGGUCCAGUGGAGAUGGGAUCACCAUGUUCCAGGACUCCAGGUAAGUCCAGCUUCAGAUCCUGGAAGAUGUGGGAGGCUGUUUGAGUACAGGGGAUGGGACAGGCCCCAGGACGUGUCUUUCCAUGAAUGAGAAGCGAGACCCCUCUUAGCAGCUGGCACCUCGAUCUCCGCUUGUACCUCUUGUACCUGGUUCCGCUGUGCGCACACACAUCUGCUGGGUCUCGGCU